Salmo salar (Atlantic salmon) is the source of this 748-nucleotide non-coding RNA. NCBI's taxonomy places the organism in Eukaryota, Metazoa, Chordata, Actinopteri, Salmoniformes, Salmonidae. The record is from RefSeq and is a predicted model, not a curated record.
AGCUAGCUAACGUUAGCUACAUUAAUUAUUGUUAUAGCCAAUGUAUUGGCUGCAUUACUUUUUAUAACUAAGUUUAACGACUGAUAACAUUAACCAUAUAUUGUUAGCUAGCUACGUUAUACUGUGUCAUUAGCUGGGUAGCUAGCUAGUUAGAAUACCAGCCAGAGCCAUGACGUAGGCGGGAUAUCUCUUCCCUGUGCGCUGCCAAUUAACAAUACAUUCUUUAAAAUUGUCGCACGUCCCAUCAAACUCGUCAAUAUUUUCCACUGAAACAAUUUCUGAUGUCCCUUAAAAAAAUCCACAAGUUUUGCUUGUGCUGCAAAGUGCAAACUGAGAGUAAACCGUGUUCUUUGAUUGCACCUAGUUUUCUACAUUUUUUACUUUCGCCUUUUAUGCUUUGCCGCAAAGUUUAUCUUAUAGCUGGCUACGGAAUCAGUUUCAUUAGCAGUUGACAUGAUGCGAGCAGUUUUCAACAAUUAGAUCAUUUGCUAAGUAAGAAAUGCCUCCAGUCCGAGUGAUAAAGGGACCAUAUAAAAUAAAAUGGAUGCGUGAUGAAAACUUCCCUUUUCCUCGACAGACCAGGUCAAGCAGGAAUAUUAAGGACCCUCUAACACACCCCAAUCAACCUGGCUGUGAUGAUUUAGACUGUGAUGAUGCCCCUGAGAUCCGCACCAAGUGAUUAGGACCCCCUGACACACCACAAUCAACCUGGCUCUGAUGAUUUAGACUAUGAUGAAGCCCCUGAGAU